Molecule: unclassified non-coding RNA, 343 nt
Filed under: soil metagenome
Description: partial contains 5.8S ribosomal RNA, internal transcribed spacer 2, and large subunit ribosomal RNA
Rfam family: 5.8S ribosomal RNA (bases 1-120)
Source: RNAcentral
GAUGAAGAACGUAGCGAAAUGCGAUACGUAAUGUGAAUUGCAGAAUUCAGUGAAUCAUCGAGUCUUUGAACGCACAUUGCGCCCCCUGGUAUUCCGGGGGGCAUGCCUGUCCGAGCGUCAUUGCUGCCCUCAAGCACGGCUUGUGUGUUGGGCCUCCGUCCUCCUCCCGGGGGACGGGCCCGAAAGGCAGCGGCGGCACCGCGUCCGGUCCUCGAGCGUAUGGGGCUUCGUCACCCGCUCUUGUAGGCCCGGCCGGCGCUUGCCGACACAUCAAUCUUUUUUCCAGGUUGACCUCGGAUCAGGUAGGGAUACCCGCUGAACUUAAGCAUAUCAUAACGGAGGA